GUCUACGGCCAUGCUACUCUGAACAAGCCCGAUCCAGUCUGAUCUCGGAAGCUAAGCAGGGUCGGGCCUGGUUAGUAUUUGGAUGAGAGACCACCUAGGAAGACCAGGUGCUGUAGGCG
RNAcentral lists this ribosomal RNA (119 nucleotides) under Pteropus alecto (black flying fox). Lineage: Eukaryota; Metazoa; Chordata; Mammalia; Chiroptera; Pteropodidae. The record is from RNAcentral.